GCGCCUGUAGCUCACUUGGAUAGAGCAACUGCCUUCUAAGCAGUGGGUAGCAGGUUCGAUUCCUGCCAGGCGCA
RNAcentral lists this transfer RNA (74 nucleotides) under Candidatus Omnitrophota bacterium. RNAcentral describes it as "tRNA-Arg". It matches the Rfam family "tRNA". From Rfam's summary of the family: Transfer RNA (tRNA) molecules are approximately 80 nucleotides in length. Their secondary structure includes four short double-helical elements and three loops (D, anti-codon, and T loops). Further hydrogen bonds mediate the characteristic L-shaped molecular structure. tRNAs have two regions of fundamental functional importance: the anti-codon, which is responsible for specific mRNA codon recognition, and the 3' end, to which the tRNAs corresponding amino acid is attached (by aminoacyl-tRNA synthetases). tRNAs cope with the degeneracy of the genetic code in two manners: having more than one tRNA (with a specific anti-codon) for a particular amino acid; and 'wobble' base-pairing, i.e. permitting non-standard base-pairing at the 3rd anti-codon position. Lineage: Bacteria; Pseudomonadati; Candidatus Omnitrophota. The record is from RNAcentral.